Zonotrichia leucophrys gambelii is the source of this 1615-nucleotide long non-coding RNA. RefSeq lists it as uncharacterized. The record is from RefSeq and is a predicted model, not a curated record. The transcript is spliced from 3 exons. NCBI's taxonomy places the organism in Eukaryota, Metazoa, Chordata, Aves, Passeriformes, Passerellidae.
GAGAGCCUUGGAGGAGCCCUGACGAAGAAGCAGGAACAGCACUGCUGUGAGGAGAUGCUUGUGAGAAAACCACCCAGAAGCUCCUCUGGACAUGAACAAGAGGUGGAAUCCCAUCUGCCAUAGGAGAACUUCACCUGGGAGAAAACUGGAACCUAAUGCAGGAUUGUGCAGAGCAGGCAUUGCCACAUGAGUGACCAAGUAAACUCAGCUUCUGCAGGUUUCAGUGUCAGCCUUGCAUGGGGAAGACCUGGACCUGUUACAGCAGGGCCAGAGAGAUUACCAAGUGGCUGGAGCACCUCUCCUAUGAAGACAGGCUGAAAGAGUUGGAGUUCUUCAGCCUGGAGAAGGGAAAGCUCCAGGGAGACAUGGUACCUUCCAGUAGCUAAAGGGGGCCUGCAAGAAAGAUGGGUGAAAAACUUUUUAGCUGGGCCUGUUGUGAUAGAACAGGAAGCAAUGGUUUUAAUGUGAAGGAGGGUUGAUUUAGAGUAGCUAGAAGUAACAAGUUUUUUACAAUGAGGGUGAUAAAAUACUGGAACAUGGUUGCCCAGACAUGUGGUGGAUGCCCCAUCUGUGGAAAAAUUCAUGGUCAGGUUGGAUGGGGCUCUGAGCAACCUGAUUAGUUGAAAUGUCCCUGUUCACUGUGGAGGGUUUGUAUGAGAAGACCUUAAAAGUUCCUUCCAACAUGAACUUUUCUAUGAUCUCAUCUCUGUCCUACUGAUGGUCAGUUGUGUCUCACACAGUUCUGCUUGCUGUGAGGUGACCUUUUAAUGUUUACACAUUGUGCUGCUUCAGCCACAAUAACACGACUCAGUGAAGAGUUGGGGAAAACUGAAAGCAUUGCAUGUAUUUGUUUGGAAAAUAGAUCAGUGUCUGUCUGAUCUAAACCUAAAAUCAAUUUGCUGAGGUUUUAUGUUGGUGUGUGAUUUGGUAUUGGCUGGUUUGCUCAUGCAGGUAAGGCUGAAGAAAUCCCGCUUUGCACCUAUAAUGCCAUCCUUUAACAAAGGGCUCUCUGCUCCAGGGAGUGCAGUCCUGUUUCAGACCAUUGCUCAGACUCAGUAUGAAUGAGAGCAGAUUAAAGAAGCAGCAUUAAUACCCCUCAGUUUAAUCAGCACAGAGUCACCCAGCUGUGUCUGGGCAGCCACCACUUGCUCCCUGGAGGACCAGUCCAGCACUAGGAGUACAUGUGUUUGUUCUUUGCCAAACAAGCUUCAGUCUGUGCUUGCAAGAUGUCCUCCACAGGGAUACAAGUCUAAAUCAUAUAGAUGUAUAGAAAAUGACUCCAUGAGUGAUUGGUUCAAAUCUAAGGAUUUUAAAAGCGAGACAUGGUGGUUUUGUUCACUUGAGGAAACAUUCAGCAUUUAUUUAUUGUUAUAAAAAAACACCAGCAAAUUAUGAUUACUGUUUUCUUUUCUUAUUACUCUGGCAAUCAAAAACACCAUGGAGAAGACCUGUCUUUGGCCCAAAGAGCUUACAAGCCAAGCAUGGGACAAGAGAUAACCUGGAUGCCUCCAUCACUUUUAUCAGCUGUCUCAGAAGUGAAAUUAAUUAAUAGAUGCUUUAAUUUUGUUGUUAAAAAAAUAAGGAAGGAAAUAAAAUCUCAGGAUUUAAUAUAGUA